AAGUUGAACACUCCAACAAAAAGAAAAGGCCA
Molecule: non-coding RNA, 32 nt
Filed under: Syntrophotalea carbinolica DSM 2380
Lineage: Bacteria; Pseudomonadati; Thermodesulfobacteriota; Desulfuromonadia; Desulfuromonadales; Syntrophotaleaceae
Source: RNAcentral